UGGAAGUAAAAAGUCGUAACAAGGUUUCCGUAGGUGAACCUGCGGAAGGAUCAUUACCGAGUGAGGGCCCUCUGGGUCCAACCUCCCACCCGUGUUUAUUUUACCUUGUUGCUUCGGCGGGCCCGCCUUAACUGGCCGCCGGGGGGCUCACGCCCCCGGGCCCGCGCCCGCCGAAGACACCCUCGAACUCUGUCUGAAGAUUGAAGUCUGAGUGAAAAUAUAAAUUAUUUAAAACUUUCAACAACGGAUCUCUUGGUUCCGGCAUCGAUGAAGAACGCAGCGAAAUGCGAUACGUAAUGUGAAUUGCAAAUUCAGUGAAUCAUCGAGUCUUUGAACGCACAUUGCGCCCCCUGGUAUUCCGGGGGGCAUGCCUGUCCGAGCGUCAUUGCUGCCCUCAAGCCCGGCUUGUGUGUUGGGCCCCGUCCUCCGAUCUCCGGGGGACGGGCCCGAAAGGCAGCGGCGGCACCGCGUCCGGUCCUCGAGCGUAUGGGGCUUUGUCACCCGCUCUGUAGGCCCGGCCGGCGCUUGCCGAUCAACCCAAAUUUUUAUCCAGGUUGACCUCGGAUCAGGUAGGGAUACCCGCUGAACUUAAGCAUAUCAAUAAGCGGAGGAA
This 613-nucleotide ribosomal RNA is filed under the name Penicillium commune. RNAcentral describes it as "eukaryotic LSU rRNA". The stretch from base 233 to 385 matches the Rfam family "5.8S ribosomal RNA". The record is from RNAcentral. Lineage: Eukaryota; Fungi; Ascomycota; Eurotiomycetes; Eurotiales; Aspergillaceae.